GAGACCGUGACUGCGUACCUUUUGUAUAAUGGGUCAGCGACUUACAUUUUGUAGCGAGGUUAAGCGAAUAGCGGAGCCGUAGGGAAACCGAGUGUUAACUGCGCGUUUAGUUGCAAGGUGUAGACCCGAAACCGAGUGAUCUAGCCAUGGGCAGGUUGAAGGUUGAGUAACAUCAACUGGAGGACCGAACCGACUUAUGUUGAAAAAUGAGCGGAUGACUUGUGGCUGGGGGUGAAAGGCCAAUCAAACUCGGAGAUAUCUGGUUCUCCUCGAAAGCUAUUUAGGUAGCGCCUCGAGCGAAUACCAUUGGGGGUAGAGCACUGUUAAGGCUAGGGGGUCAUCCCGACUUACCAACCCUUUGCAAACUCCGAAUACCAAUGAGUACUACUCGGGAGACAGACAGCGGGUGCUAACGUCCGUUGUCAAAAGGGAAACAACCCAGACCGUCAGCUAAGGUCCCAAAGUGUAUGUUAAGUGGGAAACGAUGUGGGAAGGCUUAGACAGCUAGGAUGUUGGCUUAGAAGCAGCCAUCAUUUAAAGAAAGCGUAAUAGCUCACUAGUCGAGUCGGCCUGCGCGGAAGAUUUAACGGGGCUAAACAUACCACCGAAGCUACGGGUGCAUUUCUUAGGAAGUGCGCGGUAGAGGAGCGUUCUGUAAGCGGUUGAAGGUGAAGGGGUAACCCACACUGGACGUAUCAGAAGUGCGAAUGCUGACAUGAGUAACGAUAAAGGGAGUGAAAAACUCCCUCGCCGGAAGACCAAGGGUUCCUGUCCAACGUUAAUCGGGGCAGGGUGAGUCGACCCCUAAGGUGAGGCCGAAAGGCGUAAUCGAUGGGAAACAGAUUAAUAUUUCUGUACUUCCGCUAACUGCGAUGGAGAGACGGAGAAGGCUAGGCUAGCGCGGCGUUGGUAGUCCGCGUUUAAGGUGGUAGGUUGAUUUCUUAGGCAAAUCCGGGAAAUCGUACUUUAAUGUACAGGCUGAGAGCUGAUGACGAGUCACUAAGGUGAUGAAGUAGUUGAUGCCAUGCUUCCAGGAAAAUCUUCUAAGCUUCAGGUUAGCGGGAAUCGUACCCCAAACCGACACAGGUGGUCGGGUAGAGAAUACCAAGGCGCUUGAGAGAACUCGGCUGAAGGAACUAGGCAAAAUGGUACCGUAACUUCGGGAGAAGGUACGCUCUUGUUGGUGAUGAGACUUGCUCUCUAAGCUGACGGGAGUCGCAGAUACCAGGUGGCUGCAACUGUUUAUCAAAAACACAGCACUGUGCAAAAUCGCAAGAUGACGUAUACGGUGUGACGCCUGCCCGGUGCCGGAAGGUUAAUUGAUUGGGUUAUCUUCGGAGAAGCUCAUGAUCGAAGCCCCGGUAAACGGCGGCCGUAACUAUAACGGUCCUAAGGUAGCGAAAUUCCUUGUCGGGUAAGUUCCGACCUGCACGAAUGGCGUAAUGAUGGCCACGCUGUCUCCAGCCGAGACUCAGUGAAGUUGAAAUUGCGGUGAAGAUGCCGUAUACCCGCGGCUAGACGGAAAGACCCCGUGAACCUUUACUAUAGCUUGGCACUGAACAUUGAACCUACAUGUGUAGGAUAGGUGGGAGACUUUGAAGCUUGGACGCUAGUCUGAGUGGAGUCAAUCUUGAAAUACCACCCUUGUAGUUUUGAUGUUCUAACUCUGGCCCCUUAUCGGGGUUGAGGACAGUGCCUGGUGGGUAGUUUGACUGGGGCGGUCUCCUCCCAAAGAGUAACGGAGGAGCACGAAGGUUGGCUAAGUACGGUCGGACAUCGUACGGUUAGUGCAAUGGCAUAAGCCAGCUUAACUGCGAGACAUACACGUCGAGCAGGUACGAAAGUAGGUCAUAGUGAUCCGGUGGUUCUGAAUGGAAGGGCCAUCGCUCAACGGAUAAAAGGUACUCCGGGGAUAACAGGCUGAUACCGCCCAAGAGUUCAUAUCGACGGCGGUGUUUGGCACCUCGAUGUCGGCUCAUCACAUCCUGGGGCUGAAGUCGGUCCCAAGGGUAUGGCUGUUCGCCAUUUAAAGUGGUACGCGAGCUGGGUUCAGAACGUCGUGAGACAGUUCGGUCCCUAUCUGCCGUGGGCGUUGGAUGAUUGAAGGGAGCUGCUCCUAGUACGAGAGGACCGGAGUGGACGAACCGCUGGUGUUCGGGUUGUCAUGCCAAUGGCAUUGCCCGGUAGCUACGUUCGGAAUCGAUAACCGCUGAAAGCAUCUAAGCGGGAAGCGAGCCCUAAGAUGAGUCAUCCCUAGAGCUUUAAGCUCUCUAAAGGGCCGUAGGAGACUACUACGUUGAUAGGCAAGGUGUGUAAGCGUUGUGAGGCGUUGAGCUAACUUGUACUAAUGACCCGUGAGGCUUAACCAUACAACCCAGAUGGGUUUU
Molecule: ribosomal RNA, 2387 nt
Filed under: Shewanella sp. SR44-4
Lineage: Bacteria; Pseudomonadati; Pseudomonadota; Gammaproteobacteria; Alteromonadales; Shewanellaceae
Description: partial 23S ribosomal RNA
Rfam family: Bacterial large subunit ribosomal RNA
Source: RNAcentral